UUCAAUUAUACUCCCUUGUGCUUUUAUCUACAAUGUACACAUUUAUGAAACAGCAUAUGUUUACAUUUACAUUUGUCCCACCAUUAUUACCUACAGAAAAUUAUAACAGAAAUUAGCAUUGGUUAAAAAAAACUAGUCUCUUUUAAUAAAACUCUAUUCCUCUGUAAUAGCAUAGCUUUCUGCUGAUAUUACUAGAACAACAUAAACACACACAUACAGUACAUGGCUCCAGUUGGCAGCCAUUAAAUUGGAUCAUUGGGAGGGCAAAGUGAUAUGGAAGCAAUAUUCUGUCCAACACAAUCCACAACGAGCAGAGGUGAGAGGGUGGUGGAAGUGAUGGGGAGAGGACAGGCAGUUUGAAAUACCCUCACAAUAUGCUUUUUGAUUGUAGUUUGUGCCUGAGAAUGGAACAUGUUUUGACUAUUUUCUGAAGAAUUUGCAUCACUUCUUUGCAGCUAUUACAUUUAAAAGAGACACUUUAAUUCAGCAGCAACUUGAGUAUGGCAUGAACCAUGCACAUA
Etheostoma cragini (Arkansas darter) is the source of this 521-nucleotide long non-coding RNA. RefSeq lists it as uncharacterized. The transcript has 2 exons. NCBI's taxonomy places the organism in Eukaryota, Metazoa, Chordata, Actinopteri, Perciformes, Percidae. The record is from RefSeq and is a predicted model, not a curated record.